UGCUAGCUGCAUAUAUAAACGGAUGUUUGCGUGCUUGCUAGCUAGUCUGCAACAAUGGGUAAAUGCAAGUUCAACGUCAGUUGGCUGGAAGACGUCCAUCUCCGAGGUUGGCUAGCGUCCGUUGCCAACCCAGAACAGGCCAGAUGCAUUCCGUGCAAAAGUAGCCUACAUUCAAGCUCGGCACCAUGGGGAUUAAGGCUGUCGUCAGCCAUAUGCAGAGCCAAAAACAUAAAACCUCUGCCAGGAGCCACACACAGACCCCAGCCAUUUCUACGUUUUGCAUCUCUGCCCCGGCGCUACCGCCGCAGACGGUCCGCGCUGCUAGCACUGACCUGAGGGCAGCAUUUGGUGCGACACCAACACUGAAAGCGGAGGUGUCGUGGAUUCUAAACACAGUGGUCAAGCACCAGUCCUAAAACUCGAAUGAGGGGAUAGGAGAUCUCUUCGGUUUGAUGUUCCCUGACUCUCAAAUCGCGAGCACCUUUACUGCUGGAAGGGACAAAACGGCGUAUAUAACUCGCUUCGGACCAGUGCCUUUCAUCCGAAACGAGCGAAUCUGCAGCGUCAACAAGGCUGAUUUUGUUUUGAUAUUUGAGACGUUGAACCACGCCACUAAAAGCAAGCAACUUGACGUGCACGUCCGAUAUUGGGUCGGAGAUCGAGUGCAUUCCCGGUACUUGGGCUCGCAAUUCAUGGGGCCCCACAUAUAUGGGGGUAAAAGGGAUGAUGAUACAUAAUAUUUUUUAGACAAUAUGCAGAAUCUUUUUACUUACUAAUUAACACGGUCGGCUAUUUUGCCAGCACGCCACCCUAGCCAUAUUAUGGGCAACCGUGUUCCCCUUGGCUGUGAUUUGAACUUUGAAUUCCUCGUAGGAGUUCAUAAUAAUACAUUGCUCGCUUUGGAUGAAAUACACCGCUCUUGCGCGAUUUAUUUUGCAUAAGGGUGAGUCAAAUGACGCGAGAAACGCCCAUUUUAUGUGAACGCGCAUUGAACCUAAAGCGGAAAACCUGGUUCAACUAAUUGAAUCUAAAGUGAGCGUCGUGGUACCAUUUAACUGUGAUUGCGAGUUGCGGCUCUGUCGAGCCAGGUUUUCCCAAGAAAGCCUGGGUAUGUUCAACGAGGUUCGUGGUAUAGCCUACCCCCCAGGUCUUACAGAAGGCAUUUAUUUAAUGGUGAAAAUAUUAUUAAUCAGUGGCGUAAAUAUCGACGGUGCAACCGGUGCAGCUGCCCGGGGGCCCAGACGCUGUCACCCCCCUCUCAACAACUUACAACUUGGGUGCACUAUAAAUACGUGCUGGGGCACCCAAAUUAAAAAUGUAGGCGCACCAGUGCACCCAAGGAAAGAAUUAGUCUGGAGCCCUGGAGUAUCACUUUAUGUUCAAUAAUCAGACAGAAAGUAAACUUGAAUGAGUCUCAUUGAGUGACCAUGCUAUGCUUGGGUUGUAAUACAGCGGGAUCCCCCCCACUAUCGCGGGUUUAAGGUCUUAAAUUUCAUUCAAGGUGUUAUUAAAAAGGUCUUAAAAAGUCUUAAAUUUGACUUGCUGAAACCUGCAGAUACCCUGUUUUAGCUACCGGCACAUUUCAGCGUGAGGUUGGAGACAUAUCCGGCACUUCUCAGCCAUCGAUGAGUAGGACCAUGCCGGCGGUGUUGGAAGCAAUUAUUUCCCUGGCCCCAAACUACAUCCAGUUCCCUUACAGAGAUCCCCAACAAGCCGAAAUCAAACGGGGCUUUCACGCCAUCGCCGGAUUCCCAAACAUAAUUGGAGCCAUAGAUUGCACCCACAUAGCCACAAAAGCACCGUCAACUAACGAAUUUAACUAUGUUAACAGAAAGGGGUUUCAUUCUGUCAACGUGCAAAUCGUUUGUGAUGCAAAUCUAUCCUUGUUAAACGUUGUUGCGUGGUGGCCUGGAGGAACACACGACUCAUUCAUCAUGCAGAACAGCUCUGUUGGUGUGAGUCUCCAAGAAGGCGCUGUGGAAGAUGGCUGGCUCAUUGGUGAUCAAGGUUACCCGCUGAAGCCAUGGCUAAUGACCCCCUUAACCAACCCGAGGACCCAGCAGGAAGUAUAACCGGGCCCAUGCGCGCACGAGGGGCACCGUUGAGCGCGAAAUAGGCCUGCUGAAAGGGCGAUGGCUGUGCCUUUCCAGCAAGGGGGGGGACACUGCAGUAUCGGCCUGAAAAGGUGUGAAGGAUCAUCAUAGCUUGCUGUGUGCUACACAAUUUAGCCAUCAGACAGGGGGUCCCUCUGCAGGAACUCCCCAGACCAGACGGUCCUAUGCCUGACGCGUUGCCCCUACCACCUCCUAAUGCCACUGGCCUUCAGACGAGACAGGAUCAUACAGAGAUUUUAGCUCCGCCUCCACCAGCACUCUUGGCGCACGGUGCACGGGAGGGACAAUGGACGGCCCCGGUUCCUCCGACUCCUCCAGCAACAGCACCAUGGGACCCACUGUGAAAGAAACUAAUUCACAAUAAUUUCACCGAGUUUAGUAUCGAAGGUUUUUUUCUUCUAAAUGUCAAAAUUUCAAUAAAAUGUUUGCAAACACAGUUUGUUUCUUGUACCUUCAAUUUGAAUGUUAGGCAGCCCAGCGUCGGUGUCACCGUCCUGCCGGACAGAGCUGCGUCGCCAAUGAUGCUGGCAAUUGGGUUGUCCACAGGGCUCCAGAGUGCGACCUACCUAAUUUCUUAAGGUACGAGUUAAAAUUGAAUGAGGUCGCUCCGGUGCUACUUGCAGGAGGUGCUACCACAAAUCUCUCCCGCGGUUGUGGUUGAUAAUAAAAUCGUACUUUCUGGCUCAUUCCUGCGAGUCCACUACUCUCUCUCGCUCCCAGCUGUCUCUGCCUGCCUG
Gadus chalcogrammus (walleye pollock) is the source of this 2851-nucleotide long non-coding RNA. RefSeq lists it as uncharacterized. The record is from RefSeq and is a predicted model, not a curated record. NCBI's taxonomy places the organism in Eukaryota, Metazoa, Chordata, Actinopteri, Gadiformes, Gadidae. The transcript has 3 exons.